This 779-nucleotide ribosomal RNA is filed under the name uncultured Neocallimastigales. RNAcentral's name for it is "partial large subunit ribosomal RNA". It matches the Rfam family "Eukaryotic large subunit ribosomal RNA", at positions 24 to 642 of the family's 3401-position model. The record is from RNAcentral. Lineage: Eukaryota; Fungi; Neocallimastigomycota; Neocallimastigomycetes; Neocallimastigales.
UAUCUCUGUAGAGUCUGCAUAUCAAUAAGCGGAGGAAAAGAAACUAACAAGGAUUCCCUCAGUAACGGCGAGUGAAGCGGGAAGAGCUCAAAUUUGAAAUCUUCAAGGUUCUACCUUGACGAAUUGUAGUUUAAAGAAGUGUUUUCUGUUGAGUUUUGGUAAAAGUUCUUUGGAAUAGGACAUCAUAGAGGGUGAGAAUCCCGUAUUUGACCAUUAUUUCCAGCUUUGUGAUACACUUUCAAAGAGUCGGAUUGUUUGGGAAUGCAGUCCAAAAUGGGUGGUAAAUUUCAUCUAAAGCUAAAUAUUGGCGAGAGACCGAUAGCGAACAAGUACCGUGAGGGAAAGAUGAAAAGAACUUUGAAAAGAGAGUUAAACAGUACGUGAAAUUGUCAAAAGGGAAGCGUUUGACACCAGUGUUGUUUUCUCGAAAAUCAAUUAAAAAAGUUGGAUUUUGUAUUGUAUAGACCUUAUCAGCUUUACUGCUACUCUUUUCUUGUCUUUUUUUAAUGCACUUUUCGUUUAACAAGUCAACAUCAAUUUCUUUUGUUGUAAAAGAGUCAUUGGAAGGUGGCUUUCACUUUCGGUAGAAAGUGUUUAUAGCCUUUGGCCUCUGCAAUCGGAGAGAUUGAGGUCUGCAGCGUAGAUCCUUCGGGGCUAGAUACAUUAGAUGCUAAGUUAUAGCCUUUUCAUAGACAACUUGUUGACUAUGAUCAGUCAUGUAGCUUACUCGCUUAUGCUAUUUUACCUACGCUUAGGAUGUUGAUAGUCACAGCGUGUAC